RNAcentral lists this ribosomal RNA (494 nucleotides) under uncultured bacterium. RNAcentral describes it as "partial 16S ribosomal RNA". It matches the Rfam family "Bacterial small subunit ribosomal RNA", at positions 28 to 507 of the family's 1533-position model. The record is from RNAcentral.
GACGAACGCUGGCGGCGCGCUUAACACAUGCAAGUCGAACGGAAAGGCCUGCUUUCCCUUGUGGAUUGCGGGUACUCGAGUGGCUAACGGGUGAGUAACACGUGAGUGAUCUGCCCCCAACUUGGGUAUAAGCCUGGGAAACUGGGUCUAAUUCCCGAUAGGACUGCAGGGUGGUGCCUGUGGUGGCAAACGAUUUUCUAGUGGUUGGGGAUGAGCUCGCGGCUUAUCAGCUUGUUGGUGGGGUAAUGGCCUACCAAGGCGGGGACGGGUAGCCGGCCUGGGGGUGUGGACGGCAGCAUUGGAACGGAGAUACGGCCCCGAAGACUAGGGGCAGCAGGAGUGGGGAAUAAUGCGCCGUGGGCGGAAGCCUGAAGCAGCGACGCUGCGUGGGGGAUGACGGGCUUCGGGUUGUAAGCUCCUUUCGACCGAGAGGAAGCCACCUGGUUGGAGGGGUGGUGACGGUAGUGGUAGAAGAAGCACCGGCUAACUACGUG